RNAcentral lists this ribosomal RNA (497 nucleotides) under uncultured bacterium. RNAcentral describes it as "partial 16S ribosomal RNA". It matches the Rfam family "Bacterial small subunit ribosomal RNA", at positions 28 to 523 of the family's 1533-position model. The record is from RNAcentral.
GAUGAACGCUGGCGGCGUGCUUAACACAUGCAAGUCGAACGAAGCACUCUAUUUGAUUUUUUUCGGAAAUGAAGAUUUUGUGACUGAGUGGCGGACGGGUGAGUAACGCGUGGGUAACCUGCCUCAUACAGGGGGAUAACAGUUGGAAACGACUGCUAAUACCGCAUAAGCGCACGGUAUCGCAUGGUACAGUGUGAAAAACUCCGGUGGUAUGAGAUGGACCCGCGUCUGAUUAGCUAGUUGGUGGGGCAACGGCCUACCAAAGCGACGAUCAGUAGCCGACCUGAGAGGGUGACCGGCCACAUUGGGACUGAGACACGGCCCAAACUCCUACGGGAGGCAGCAGUGGGGAAUAUUGCACAAUGGGGGAAACCCUGGUGCAGCGACGCCGCGUGAACGAAGAAGUAUUUCGGUAUGUAAAGUUCUAUCAGCAGGGAAGAUAAUGACGGUACCUGACUAAGAAGCACCGGCUAAAUACGUGCCAGCCGCCGCAGUAA